This 100-nucleotide transfer RNA is filed under the name Aquisphaera giovannonii. RNAcentral's name for it is "tRNA-Pro". Lineage: Bacteria; Pseudomonadati; Planctomycetota; Planctomycetia; Isosphaerales; Isosphaeraceae. The record is from RNAcentral.
CGUGAGGUAGGGCAGGAAGAAGAGGCCCUCUCCGCCCGGGCCGGCGAUCGCCGCCUCGGCGGUGAGGAGGUAGUAGGGAUCGACCCCCUGCUCCUUGGCC